AGCUGGAUCAUUUUUCCGAUCACACCUUGAAAAAAAAAAAACAUAUCUCUUCUUUCCUUCUUCUCUUCUCCUCUCUUUACUGAGUUGAGAAAGAGAAAAGGAACAGAGCAGAACACACAAAACAAGCGCAGCAGAAAAUUUACUUUUUCGCCUGCCCUGCCUUCUCUUUUCAAACAAAGAAAAGAAAAAAGCACGCCAAGUAUUUAUACUUGGUGUGGGGCAGAACCUAAAACGUGUCGCGAUGGAUGACUUGGCUUCCCAUAUCUGUGAAGAACGCAGCAAAGUGCGAUAAGUGGUAUGAAUUGCAGAAUCUCUCCAUUACUUAAUCUUUGAACGCAAAAGGCGCUCGGGAGAAGUCCUUCUGGACCAUCCCCGUGCAUGCCGUAUUGCUCAGUGUCGAAAAACAACCUUUCAAAAAAUCUUGAAGGUUUCUCGAAGUUGUAGAAAGAAUUCUCUUUACUGAGUUUUCCUUCUCUGCAAUUCGGGGAUUGGGUGUUCCUUUUGUUGGAAACGGCAAAAACAAAGCAUCCAAUUCAAAAUUCAAAACCAAAAAAUUGGUACAACCAAAGAAAGCCUCAAAAACUUCUUUUGUGUUUGUCACACAAUUUUUUUUACGGACCUGAGUGCGGCAGGACGACCCGCUAAACUUAAGCAUAUUGCUCAGCGGAGGAAAAGAAAACAACCGUGAUUCCCUUAGUCAGCGGCGAGCGAACAGGGAUCCAACUCGAUGCCGAAUCGGGUCUCAAGGACCUUGAGUUGUGGCACGACUGCCCCAUGACUGGUUACGGAAGUGGCAAAAUUCAAUGUGCAAAGCAAACCCUGUUGAACACAACCCUUCAUGUGAGUAUUGAGCCAUAGGAGGUGAAAGCCCAUUCCAGCCACAAAUCCAAAGCCUCAUUGGGUGGAUCAAGAGAGUAGCACUGCUUGGGAAUGCAGUGUCAAGCGGCAGGUAUGUGUCUGCCAAAGUUAAAUACAAAAUGGGAAGACCGAUAGCAAACAAGUAGCGUGAGCGAAAGUUUGAAAAGCACUUUGGAAAGAGAGUGACAUAGAACCUGAAGUCGUGACAAUGACAAUGAACGUGCCUCCAUUUUUGUCAAGGCCAGCCCUGCAGCAUUAUCCGUUGUUCCACCUUCGGGUGCCAACUUCGGUCAAACAAGUGUUGGAAGGGGACUGGAGCAAAGAGCCGAGGUAAAGGGCGGAGUUUUGCCUAGCAAUGAACCCGUUCUUCUCGGUAGACUCAGCGACUUGACGCUCUGGAAAUGGGGUACCUUCACCCGUCUUGAAACACGGACCAAGGAGUCAAACAGACACGCAAGAGGGAAGAUAUUGUUGCCAGUACUUCUCUCGAACUGAAAGGGAUGCUUUUUGCAUUGGUGUGCACACAAGAACUGCCCAACACCGACCGCCCUUCUUUUAGGGUGAGUCUGAGUGUGCCUGUUUGGACCCGAAAGGUGGUGAACUAUGCCUGAACAAGAUGAAGUCCGGGGAAACUCGGAUGGAGGUCUGUAGCGGUGCUGACGUGCAAAUCGCUCGCAUGAUUUGGGUAUCGGAGCGAAAGACUCAUCGAACCACCUAGUAGCUGGUUCACAU
This 1590-nucleotide unclassified non-coding RNA is filed under the name uncultured fungus. Its description in RNAcentral is "sequence contains 18S rRNA gene, ITS1, 5.8S rRNA gene, ITS2, 28S rRNA gene". The stretch from base 615 to 1590 matches the Rfam family "Eukaryotic large subunit ribosomal RNA", at positions 1 to 961 of the family's 3401-position model. Lineage: Eukaryota; Fungi. The record is from RNAcentral.